CCUACGGGAGUCAGCAGUGAGGAAUAUUGGUCAAUGGGCGCGAGCCUGAACCAGCCAAGUAGCGUGAAGGAUGACUGCCCUACGGGUUGUAAACUUCUUUUAUAAAGGAAUACAGUUAGGCACGUGUGCCUUUUUGUAUGUACUUUAUGAAUAAGGAUCGGCUAACUCCAUGCCAGCAGCCGCGGUAAUACGGAGGAUCCGCGCGUUAUCCGGAUGUAUUGGGUUUAAAGGGAGCGUAGAUGGGUUGUUAAGUCAGUUGUGAAAGUUAGCGGCUCAACAGUAAAAUUGCAAUUGAUACUGGCAGCCGUGAGUACAGGUGAGGUAGGCGGAAUUCGUGGUGUAGCGGUGAAAUGCUUAGAUAUCACGAAGAACUCCGAUUGCGAAGGCAGCUUACUAAACUGCCACUGACAUUGAGGCUCGAAAGUGUGGGUAUCAAACAGGAUUAGAUACCCGGGUAGUC
This 460-nucleotide ribosomal RNA is filed under the name uncultured bacterium. Its description in RNAcentral is "partial 16S ribosomal RNA". It matches the Rfam family "Bacterial small subunit ribosomal RNA", at positions 338 to 795 of the family's 1533-position model. The record is from RNAcentral.